Myodes glareolus (Bank vole) is the source of this 608-nucleotide long non-coding RNA. RefSeq lists it as uncharacterized. Lineage: Eukaryota; Metazoa; Chordata; Mammalia; Rodentia; Cricetidae. The record is from RefSeq and is a predicted model, not a curated record.
GAAUGUGUAAACUGGCAUGCCGAUCAGGAAAGCCCUCAGGAGAGACACAGAGGCCUCAGAUGCUCACAUGGGAAUGCCUAGCAAGAAGCAACUUAAGGGAAGGAGGGCUUCUAUUGGCUCAUGGCGUAGGAAGGCGGAGCAACUGGAGUGGGGGCGGGUGCUGACUGAUUCCUACAGGAAGCAGAGAGAGAUAAAUGCUGUGCUCGGUUCACUUUUUCCUGUUCUGUAGUCUCACCCCAGCCCCUCGAGUGCUGCCACCUACACUCAAGGUUUCAACUAAAGCAAUGACUGAGAGAGAAAGGUGUUCCGAAUUCCACCAGCAAGGGUUUGUCUCCGACUCUGUACAAUUUUGAUUUGUUAGAAAUGUUUAAGAUAGAAAAGCCCCACCACCCCACACUGAAGAAGAGCAAAGACCAAAGUGAGAUGCUGGCUGAGAAUCCACAAAAGGCUGAACCACCCAGGCCUUGGACGAAAUGCUUAGCUCCUGGGUCAGCGUUUCUCAAACUGUGGGUCGGGAGCCCUUUGGGGGGUCGCACAUCAGAUAUUUACAUUACAAUUCGUAACAGUAGCAAAAUUACAACUACAAAGUAGCAGCGCAGUAAGUUUGU